Molecule: ribosomal RNA, 162 nt
Filed under: uncultured bacterium
Lineage: Bacteria
Description: partial 16S ribosomal RNA
Rfam family: Bacterial small subunit ribosomal RNA
Source: RNAcentral
UAGGGAAUCUUCCACAAUGGGCGCAAGCCUGAUGGAGCAACACCGCGUGAGUGAAGAAGGGUUUCGGCUCGUAAAGCUCUGUUGUUGGAGAAGAACGUGCGUGAGAGUAACUGUUCACGCAGUGACGGUAUCCAACCAGAAAGUCACGGCUAACUACGUGCC